GAUGAACGCUGGCGGCGUGCCUAAUACAUGCAAGUCGAACGGUAAUACUUUAUCGCCGGGUUCUUUCACUCACCGAUACAGAGUUGAGUGGAGAACGGGUGAGUAACCCGGGGGCAACCUGCCCAAUAGAGGGGAAUAACGCUUGUAAACAGGUACUAAUACCGCAUAACGAUAGUUACCGCAGGGUAACUAGGUAAAAGGUGGCUCUACUAGCGCUUUGGUAGGGGCGCGGGGCGCAUCAGCUAGUUGGUAGGGUAACGGCUUACCAAGGCAAUGAUGCGUAGCCGAAUUGAGAGGUUGAUCGGCCACAUUGGAACUGAGACACGGACCAAACUCCUACGGGAGGCAGCAGUAGGGAAUAUUGCACAAUGGGCGAAAGCCUGAUGGAGCAACGCCGCGUGUGUGAAGAAGGUCUUCGGAUCGUAAAGACCUGUUGUUGGAGAAGAAAGUGCGUGAGAGUAAACGUUCACGUAUUGACGGUACCUAACGAGAAAGCACCGGCUAACUACGUG
RNAcentral lists this ribosomal RNA (512 nucleotides) under uncultured bacterium. Its description in RNAcentral is "partial 16S ribosomal RNA". It matches the Rfam family "Bacterial small subunit ribosomal RNA", at positions 28 to 507 of the family's 1533-position model. The record is from RNAcentral.